This 254-nucleotide ribosomal RNA is filed under the name uncultured bacterium. RNAcentral describes it as "partial 16S ribosomal RNA". It matches the Rfam family "Bacterial small subunit ribosomal RNA", at positions 524 to 776 of the family's 1533-position model. The record is from RNAcentral.
UACGUAGGGUGCAAGCGUUAAUCGGAAUUACUGGGCGUAAAGGGCGCGUAGGCGGCCCAUCAAGUCGGAUGUGAAAGCCCAGGGCUCAACCUUGGAAGUGCAUCCGAAACUGAUGAGCUAGAGUUCACGGAGAGGGUGGUGGAAUUCCCAGUGUAGAGGUGAAAUUCGUAGAUAUUCGGAAGAACACCAGUGGCGAAGGCGGCUGACUGGACAUGUAUUGACGCUGAGGUGCGAAAGCGUGGGGAGCAAACAGG